UCCUGGUUUCCCAGGCAGUCCCACCAGAGUGCUUACCUAAAAGGUAAUAGCAACUGGCGGCAAGGGUUGCGCUCGUUAGAGGACUUAACCUAACGUCUCACGACACGAGCUGACGACAGCCAUGCAGCACCUGUGAAAUUGUCUAAACCGAAGCUUAGAAGAUCGUAUUUCUACGACUGUCAAAAACAUGUCAAGCCCAGGUAAGGUUCCUCGCGUAGUGUCGAAUUAAACCACAUGUUCCACCGCUUGUGCGGACCCCCGUCAAUUCCUUUAAGUUUUAGUCUUGCGACCGUACUCCCCAGGCGGAUCACUUAACGCGUUAGCUACGACACCAAUUCGGCAAAGCCAAACUGACGUCUAGUGAUCAUCGUUUACAGCGUGGACUAC
Molecule: unclassified non-coding RNA, 387 nt
Filed under: uncultured bacterium
Lineage: Bacteria
Description: contains 16S-23S intergenic spacer region
Source: RNAcentral